Molecule: ribosomal RNA, 406 nt
Filed under: uncultured bacterium
Lineage: Bacteria
Description: partial 16S ribosomal RNA
Rfam family: Bacterial small subunit ribosomal RNA
Source: RNAcentral
AUUGAACGCUGGCGGCAGGUCUAACACAUGCAAGUCGAACGAGUGGCGGACGUGUGAGUAAUGUCUGGGAAAAUGCCUGAUGGAGGGGGAUAACUACUGAAAACGGUCGCUAAUACCGCAUACCAUCAGAUGUGCCCAGAUGGGAUUAGCUAGUUGGUGGGGUAAAGGCUCACCAAGGCGACGUUCCCUAGCUGGUCUGAGAGGAUGACCAGCCACGCGGGAACUGAGACACGGUCCAGACUCCUACGGUGGGCAGCAGUGGGGAAUAUUGCGCAAUGGGCGCAAGUCUGAUGCAGCCAUGCCGAGUGUAUGAAGAAGGCCUUCGGGUUGUAAAGUACUGUCAGCGGGGAGGCGUUACCCGCAGAAGAAGCACCGGCUAACUCCGUGCCAGCAGCCGCGGUAAUUC